AUUGAACGCUGGCGGCAUGCUUUACACAUGCAAGUCGAACGGUAACAGGCCGCAAGGUGCUGACGAGCGGCGAACGGGUGCGUAAUGCAUCGGAACGUGCCCAGUCGCGGGGGAUAACUACUCGAAAGAGUAGCUAAUACCGCAUACGAUCUAUGGAUGAAAGCGGGGGACCGCAAGGCUUCGCGCGAUUGGAGCGGUCGCUGUCAGAUUAGGUAGUUGGUGGGGUAAAGGCUCACCAAGCCAACGAUCUGUAGCUGGUCUGAGAGGACAACCAGCCACACUGGGACUGAGACACGGCCCAGACUCCUACGGGAGGCAGCAGUGGGGAAUUUUGGACAAUGGGCGCAAGCCUGAUCCAGCAAUGCCGCGUGCAGGAAGAAGGCCUUCGGGUUGUAAACUGCUUUUGUACGGAACGAAACGGCUCUGGUUAAUACCCGGGGCUAAUGACGGUACCGUAAGAAUAAGCACCGGCUAACUACGUG
Molecule: ribosomal RNA, 482 nt
Filed under: uncultured bacterium
Lineage: Bacteria
Description: partial 16S ribosomal RNA
Rfam family: Bacterial small subunit ribosomal RNA
Source: RNAcentral